UACGUAGGGUGCGAGCGUUGUCCGGAAUUAUUGGGCGUAAAGAGCUUGUAGGCGGUUUGUCGCGUCUGCCGUGAAAAUCCGGGGCUCAACCCCGGACUUGCAGUGGGUACGGGCAGACUAGAGUGUGGUAGGGGAGACUGGAAUUCCUGGUGUAGCGGUGAAAUGCGCAGAUAUCAGGAGGAACACCGAUGGCGAAGGCAGGUCUCUGGGCCACUACUGACGCUGAGAAGCGAAAGCAUGGGGAGCGAACAGG
Molecule: ribosomal RNA, 253 nt
Filed under: uncultured bacterium
Lineage: Bacteria
Description: partial 16S ribosomal RNA
Rfam family: Bacterial small subunit ribosomal RNA
Source: RNAcentral